GCACGGCUGUGGCACCUGCUUCCCUCUUACUCAGACUUCAACUGUUCCCUCUGCUCAAACUUGUGGCUGUCGUGUSCUUGGGAGCAGUGCCCACCGCAGGGGCGAAGUCAGGAACUGGAAGGUGUUUCAGGUAAGCAUCCGCUAAUGAUGCUAUUAGCUCUURUCCUGCCGUAACUCAUGGUUAUGGUCUUUGUUUGUAAAACAUGAGACAAAGACCAGGAUGAAAGAGACAUCAAAGCGUAACAGAAGGGAAAAGUGUGGAUUGAUGCCUUUACUAGGUAGCUCACCAAACACACUGAAGUCCUCCAGACAGAUGACAUUGAGGAGGGAAGGAUAAUGRGAGGAAAAAUGAGAAGCAAGAGGUGAGGAUUAUCACAUCCUCUGGAAUCASUGUAGCCACGAGACUUUGCAACCAGUGUGCUCAGCCUUGCACGUGGGCCUUCCAGAGCUGGUGAGAAGUUCUGAGUGGAGCCACAGGCUUGGCUGUCUUUCCAGCCUGCGGGGUCAACAGUCGGAGACUGCGGAAGGUGAGAGGCAGCAGAGGAGGAAACACAGUAGCGAUAGUGUCUGGAUCAGCAUCACAAAAGAGGAGGGACCAGAUGAGGACACCAGUGGUCUGAAAUCAAGCCAGCCUGGGACGCCCUGAUGGCGCUUGGGCAGCACCGCACGCCGGUGGUUGCAUCCGCCUCCCUCGCACACCCAGAGAGGACCCAAGGAGUCCCCGUAAUGUUUCUGGGCCCCGGGUGGUUGCAGUACGCCAACCUCGGGCACGCCAGUCUCAAGACCCAGCUGUACCUUCUUUGCACAACCCGCUGCUGUUUCAUUUAUGAAUUGGAGGUGCUCUGAUAAACACACUGAAAGGUCAGCUAUUUUCACUGUGGCUUGCAUAAGAACCUCAACAUCCUCUGCUGCAAGAGCCGUGUUAGUAACUUCCUACUGCAGCACUGAAUCACAAUAGCUUCCCACAAUAACCCGCAGUAAAAAUAAACCGGGUAAGGGGAAGUGGACGGCUUCGGUU
This 1018-nucleotide long non-coding RNA is filed under the name Dromaius novaehollandiae (emu). Its description in RNAcentral is "lncRNA (ENSDNVG00000008257.1)". The record is from RNAcentral. Lineage: Eukaryota; Metazoa; Chordata; Aves; Casuariiformes; Dromaiidae.